AAGUAGGGGAUCGCAAGACCUUGCGCUUUUGGAGCGGCCGAUGCCUGAUUAGCUAGUUGGUGGGGUAAUGGCCUACCAAGGCGACGAUCAGUAGUUGGUCUGAGAGGACGACCAGCCACACUGGGACUGAGACACGGCCCAGACUCCUACGGGAGGCAGCAGUGGGGAAUUUUGGACAAUGGGCGAAAGCCUGAUCCAGCAAUGCCGCGUGAGUGAAGAAGGCCUUCGGGUUGUAAAGCUCUUUCAGUCGAGAAGAAAAGGUUGUGACUAAUAAUCACAACUUAUGACGGUACCGACAGAAGAAGCACCGGCUAACUACGUGCCAGCAGCCGCGGUAAUACGUAGGGUGCGAGCGUUAAUCGGAAUUACUGGGCGUAAAGGGUGCGCAGGCGGCUUUGUAAGUCAGAUGUGAAAUCCCCGGGCUUAACCUGGGAAUUGCGUUUGAAACUACAAAGCUAGAGU
Molecule: ribosomal RNA, 462 nt
Filed under: uncultured ammonia-oxidizing beta proteobacterium
Lineage: Bacteria; Pseudomonadati; Pseudomonadota; Betaproteobacteria
Description: bacterial SSU rRNA
Rfam family: Bacterial small subunit ribosomal RNA
Source: RNAcentral